UUAAGCACAAAGGCGUGUUGAGUAAGCAAAUCUAUCAACUGUAACGCUGAAGUGUGAUGGGGGAAAAGUUCUACGGAACUUCAACUUUGCUGAAGCCAUGCUUUCAAGAAAAACUUCUAGGGCUAAUCUUGUAGGUGCCUGUACUCAGAACCGACACUGGUAGUCAAGGAGAGAAUCCUAAGGUGAGCGAGAUAACUAUGGUUAAGGAACUCGGCAAAAUGACCCCGUAACUUCGGAAUAAGGGGAGGUGUAGCGAUACACCCUCAGGAAAUAGGUCCAGGCAACUGUUUACCAAAAACACAGGUCUCUGCUAAAGCGUAAGCUGAUGUAUAGGGGCUGACGCCUGCCCAGUGCUGGAAGGUUAAGAGGAGAUGUUAGUUGGACGCAAGUCGAUAACAACGAAGCUUCGAAUUGAAGCCCAGUGAACGGCGGCCGUAACUAUAACGGUCCUAAGGUAGCGAAAUUCCUUGUCAGGUAAGUUCUGACCCGCACGAAAGGCGUAAUGAUCUGGAUACUGUCUCAACCAUAGACUCGGUGAAAUCUUAAUACCUGUGAAAAUGCAGGUUACCCGCUACAGGACAAAAAGACCCCGUGGAGCUUUACUGCAACUUGAUAUUGGAAUCAGAUGUAUCAUGUAGAGGAUAGGUGGGAGACUUUGAAGUUAGGACGUCAGUUCUAAUGGAGUCAUCCUUGGAAUACCACCCUUGAUAUGUUUGAUUUCUAACUUGCGCCCAUUAUCUGGGUGGAGGACAGUGUCUGGUGGGCAGUUUGACUGGGGCGGUCGCCUCCCAAAGAGUAACGGAGGCGCCCAAAGGUUCCCUCAGAAUGGUUGGAAAUCAUUCGUAGAGUGUAAUGGCAGAAGGGAGCUUAACUGCGAGACCUACAAGUCAAGCAGAUGCGAAAGCAGGGCAUAGUGAUCUUGCGAUCCCGAAUGGAAGGGUCGUUGCUUAACGGAUAAAGGUUACCCCGGGGAUAACAGGCUGAUCCCACCCAAUAGUUCGUAUAGACGGUGGGGUUUGGCACCUCGAUGUCGGCUCGUCGUAUCCUGGAGGUGGAAUCGCUUCCAAGGGUUGGGCUGUUCGCCCAUUAAAACGGCACGCGAGCUGGGUUCAGAACGUCGUGAGACAGUUCGGUCUCUAUCCGUAGUGGGCGUUAGAAAAUUGAGGAGUGCUUUUCCUAGUACGAGAGGACCGGAAAGGACGAACCGAUGGUGUAUCUGUUGUCACGCCAGUGGCAGUGCAGAGUAGCUAUGUUCGGAAGGGAUAAUCGCUGAAGGCAUCUAAGCGAGAAGCCCUCUCCAAGAUGAGUUUUCUUUAUCUUCAAGAUAUAAGAUCCCUUGUAGACGACAAGGUUGAUAGGUUAGAUGUGUAAGCAUAGUGAUAUGUUGAGCUGACUAAUACUAUAGAUCGACAAUUUAAU
This 1419-nucleotide ribosomal RNA is filed under the name metagenome. RNAcentral describes it as "bacterial LSU rRNA". It matches the Rfam family "Bacterial large subunit ribosomal RNA", at positions 1512 to 2925 of the family's 2925-position model. The record is from RNAcentral.